This is a long non-coding RNA of Oxyura jamaicensis (ruddy duck), 495 nucleotides long. RefSeq lists it as uncharacterized. Lineage: Eukaryota; Metazoa; Chordata; Aves; Anseriformes; Anatidae. The transcript is spliced from 3 exons. The record is from RefSeq and is a predicted model, not a curated record.
UCUAGUAUUUCUCUGAUUGCCCUUAAGGUUAACACAUUCAUGACUAGUGAUAUGGUUGCAAAUACAACUGUAAUCCUCAGGGUGUGAAUGAGUUCAUGAUUCCAGAUAUGCAUUAGUAAAAGAGUUAGUGAUAAAUCUAAAUGAAGGAAGGCAGACAAAGAAGCAUUUUUAUAUGUAUUUUAUUAAUGAAACGUUGAGAUAAGAGAGAUGAGUCUGUGACCAUGAGUGGACAAUGAGCAAACUUGUCAACACGGGAAUAUAAAAAGCUUAGCCCUGCAUUAUCCUUCAGGGCAAGCUGAAAGGGACUUCCUUAGUGUGGCAGAGAUCUGGUUGUUCCAUAAAAAGCCUAGGACUGAACCCCCGGAAACCAGAGCUGUUGGAAAAAAACCUGCUAUUCAUCAAAGAACCACUGAAUCCAUAAAGUUUUGGGAUGACAUUCUGUGUACUGUUCGAUAUUUUUGUGUUCUGUAUCAGUGGGGAAAAAAAAAAAAAUAG